CAAACGACUCUCGGCAACGGAUAUCUCGGCUCUCGAAUCGAUGAAGAACGUAGCGAAAUGGGAUACUUGGGGUGAAUUGCAGAAUCCCGUGAACCAUCGAGUCUUUGAACGCACGUUGCGCCCGAAGCCAUUAGGCCGAGUGCACGUCUGCCUGGGCGUCACGC
RNAcentral lists this ribosomal RNA (164 nucleotides) under Diabelia spathulata. RNAcentral describes it as "5.8S ribosomal RNA". It matches the Rfam family "5.8S ribosomal RNA". Rfam says of the family: 5.8S ribosomal RNA (5.8S rRNA) is a component of the large subunit of the eukaryotic ribosome. Lineage: Eukaryota; Viridiplantae; Streptophyta; Magnoliopsida; Dipsacales; Caprifoliaceae. The record is from RNAcentral.